AUUGAACGCUGGCGGAAUGCUUUACACAUGCAAGUCGAACGGCAGCACGGGGCAACCUGGUGGCGAGUGGCGAACGGGUGAGUAAUACAUCGGAACGUGCCCAAUCGUGGGGGAUAACGUAGCGAAAGUUACGCUAAUACCGCAUACGAUCUACGGAUGAAAGCGGGGGAUCGCAAGACCUCGCGCGAAUGGAGCGGCCGAUGUCAGAUUAGGUAGUUGGUGGGGUAAAGGCUCACCAAGCCAACGAUCUGUAGCUGGUCUGAGAGGACGACCAGCCACACUGGAACUGAGACACGGUCCAGACUCCUACGGGAGGCAGCAGUGGGGAAUUUUGGACAAUAGGCGCAAGCCUGAUCCAGCCAUUCCGCGUGCAGGAUGAAGGCC
RNAcentral lists this ribosomal RNA (384 nucleotides) under uncultured bacterium. RNAcentral's name for it is "bacterial SSU rRNA". It matches the Rfam family "Bacterial small subunit ribosomal RNA", at positions 30 to 416 of the family's 1533-position model. The record is from RNAcentral.